Molecule: small nucleolar RNA, 127 nt
Filed under: Merops nubicus (carmine bee-eater)
Lineage: Eukaryota; Metazoa; Chordata; Aves; Coraciiformes; Meropidae
Description: Small nucleolar RNA SNORA17
Rfam family: Small nucleolar RNA SNORA17
About the family: snoRNA ACA 17 belongs to the H/ACA family of snoRNAs and is predicted to guide pseudouridylation of the 28S rRNA at positions U4659 and U4598. It shares the same host gene together with ACA43. NB This family has a high threshold value to exclude a large number of closely related sequences that do not appear to have conserved H and ACA boxes, and may be pseudogenes.
Source: Rfam by way of RNAcentral
ACAGCUCCGUGUUGCAGAUGUGGCUGUGGUGCCAUGUUUGUGUCAUUAGGUGGCAGAGAGUGACAGGCUGAGUCUUUGUGAGUGCUGGAACCCAUGAGCACUCAGGAAUGACAAGCAACCUCACAAU